Molecule: long non-coding RNA, 700 nt
Organism: Mustela lutreola (European mink)
Lineage: Eukaryota; Metazoa; Chordata; Mammalia; Carnivora; Mustelidae
Exons: 3
Source: RefSeq, a predicted model, not a curated record
CUCAGCCUAGAGUCACCAUGAGACCCAGCAACUCCGCUUCCAGGCAUGCACCCAACCCUCGCCCUCCGCUGCAGGACUCGGCCAAAAAGCGGAGGAACCCAGCGUCCACCAGCAGGAGUCGAAGUUUCGACCACAGCCCUCCAGCCGCCACACCGAGAACCCGAGGACGAGGAAGUCUUCCCCACUGCACUGCAUCUGACCACGAGCCACGGGCUGCCCCAUUUCUCAGAGGGAGACUGAGUCCUGGAGAGGGGAAGCGAGUGGGUGACUUACGCUAACCUGGCCAGAGAGGAGGGGACAGCCGGGCCCCCGACAGCUCACCGCGCGUGGCCAGCACUUGGGGUGACCGGCCAGGAAAUGGAGACCCUGUGCCCCCCAGAGAAAGAACAAAAUUCUACCAACGCCUGAAAGGGCUUGGAAGCCCGUCCUUCCCCAGCUGAGCCUUUGGCUGUGCAGGCCGCCAGGGGACACCUGUCCACAGCCUCAUGGGACCCGGAGCCGGGGCACUGACCCGCUGGGCCAGACCACCGCCGACCCCCAGACGCCCUGAGAAAACACACGGGUGUCGUGGCCAGCCACUAAGUGCAAAUGUAGCUGACGCCAGCCGUUUGCCAAAAGGCCCUUCUCUGUUACAGUUCGCGUCUGGUUUUUAAGUUCGGCCUAACACAUCCUAACUCCAUUUCCAGAGGAGCCUCUUUCU